This 375-nucleotide ribosomal RNA is filed under the name uncultured Gammaproteobacteria bacterium. Its description in RNAcentral is "bacterial SSU rRNA". It matches the Rfam family "Bacterial small subunit ribosomal RNA", at positions 30 to 407 of the family's 1533-position model. Lineage: Bacteria; Pseudomonadati; Pseudomonadota; Gammaproteobacteria. The record is from RNAcentral.
AUUGAACGCUGGCGGCAGGCCUAACACAUGCAAGUCGAACGGUAACAGGAUGUGCUUGCACAUCGCUGACGAGUGGCGGACGGGUGAGUAAUGCUUGGGAAUUUGCCUUUGCGAGGGGGAUAACAGUUGGAAACGACUGCUAAUACCGCAUAACGUCUACGGACCAAAGGGUGCUUCGGCUCUCGCGUGAAGAGAAGCCCAAGUGAGAUUAGCUAGUUGGUGAGGUAAAGGCUCACCAAGGCGACGAUCUCUAGCUGUUCUGAGAGGAAGAUCAGCCACACUGGGACUGAGACACGGCCCAGACUCCUACGGGAGGCAGCAAUGGGGAAUAUUGCACAAUGGGGGAAACCCUGAUGCAGUCAUGCCGCGUGUGUG